GAGUAUAAAGAUCAUUCUUUGGGACAGACGCAGCUUGCGUUUGCUGAAGCUCCAAAUGAAGCCCUUCCUCUUAAUUGCAGGCCUAACUUUGGUGCUGCGUGGUUGACCAAAGAUAAAUUUAAGGUGAAUAGAACGUAUGACUGCUGGUACCAAUCUGGCAUUUCCAAAGUGAGCUUAUAUCACGAUGGUUUUUUCAGUUGCCAAGCAAAAGAUCCAUCUACCAUUGAGAUGAUUAGACGAUAUUCCAUCCUGUAUGACAAAAUCAAUAUCUUGAAAAAUUGGUGU
This is a long non-coding RNA of Quercus robur (English oak), 285 nucleotides long. RefSeq lists it as uncharacterized. Lineage: Eukaryota; Viridiplantae; Streptophyta; Magnoliopsida; Fagales; Fagaceae. The record is from RefSeq and is a predicted model, not a curated record. The transcript is spliced from 3 exons.